Cricetulus griseus (Chinese hamster) is the source of this 319-nucleotide unclassified non-coding RNA. Its record names the gene 7SK. It matches the Rfam family "7SK RNA". From Rfam's summary of the family: 7SK was discovered as an abundant small nuclear RNA in the mid-70s but a possible function has only recently been suggested. The record is from Ensembl. Lineage: Eukaryota; Metazoa; Chordata; Mammalia; Rodentia; Cricetidae.
GGAUAUGUGGGCCAUCGGAUUGUAACAUCUAUCAUCCUGAUGACCCUCAGGGUUGAUUCAGCUGAUCUAGCUGCCUAGGCAGGUACCCUGUUCCUCUCUCACUAGUCCAUGUUUCUCCCUCCUUAAGCUUCAUGCUUGGAUGACUGACGAUAAUGACUUUCCCUGAUAGAGAACAGGUAUAAAGCAGGGUAUAGACCAGCUGUGCUUCUCUGGUAGAACGUCCAAAUAAGUUCUCAAGAGGUAUCUAUUUCUAGGAAUUUUAUGGGAUUUACAGGGAUCCUUAAAAAUUCUAACACAUAAAAACCAAACUAUUGAAUUU